UACAGGAAGGGAGCCCCGUGAACACACGGUAACCUGCGCCCUCACUCCCGCGCGGGGGCCGGGCACACAGCCACAUCCCUCGCCUUCCUCCCUCUCCCAGGGAUCCCCCCUCACCCCACCUUCCGGGCUUACAGAAGAGGUAACACUGGCUUACUAUUGAGUUAUCAAACUGAGAGCAGGCGCCUUCACUUGACAUCUGGGACUUCCGCCAGGCCCACUCACCUUCCUCUCCCACCUCCUCGGAGGCCAGACCUCCAGGCCAGCGAGGCCCUGUGCCCCGGCCCUGUGGAGGCCAUGCGCAGCCGCACCCUGCGCUGUACACUCUCCCCACCACCACAGGGCAGGCCCCUCUUGGUUUGCUCCCACAUCAGUUCUCAGUUCCUCACUGUCCUGGGCUUUGAGGCCGACUGUACAGACCAAACCACACGGGGCCCCUUGCCCUUUGGCUUCCCACACACUCAGCCAAAGGGAGGCUGGAACGGGAUUUGGGGGUUGAGGAGGGAGAGGCGGGGUUUGUUCCCGCCCCGCCUGGGUGCAACGCGGCAGGGGACCCUCCAACCUUGGCCACAGCUGCCGGGCCACACCACUCCGUUCCCUCUCCGGUCCCCUCAGGCCUGGAGGGGACUAUCCCAAGGGUCCCACCGCCCCUUGUUUCUGUAACUCUGCCAACCCCUUCAGUGAACUUUCUUUUAUCACUCAGUUUAGUUUAAUGUAAAUAGUCCCUUCAUUAAACUAAUAACCACUUUUUGUUCUCCAUUUCUUUCCUUCCAGGAUCCUAACAGACACACCUGCCUCCCAUCUACCUAUCAAAUCUUGUGUGGAACUCUCAAACUCAAGCUGAACCCUUGCUGUGAGACUUGCUAAUGGUACCAGCCCAUCCUGAGCUGUCCUGGAGAGAAUUUAACAGCUUCACUAAAAGAGAUAGACCUUCCCUUGGGUAUGUAGUGCCACCUGCUGGACAUCCAGAGAAACAGCGCCAUCUAGCUUUGAAGUCCCUGAUGAAGAAAGCCCACUUGGAAGGUAGCAAUCACUCUUCAAAUGAAUUGGCUUAUGAAGAAAAAAAACACAGCAUGAAAUAGAGAACUUUAAAUGAGGACCAGAAAAGAAGGAAAGGAGAAUGUUAAAAAGUAUAAGAAUACAAGGCAAAUCUCCUUCUUCCAGAGAUAAAGAAAUGGAGAUAUACAGAUUUCUUAAAAGGGCCCUUCCUGUCCUGCGACAUAUGCUGUAUUAUGAUUAUCUUGUUCAUUUCCUCAUUUUCAUUACUUCUGUCCUCUUGGUUAAGUAGCCUGAUUCUAAAGACCUAAGGGCUAGAACUAACACUGACAAGAUGGAAAAUAAGCUCUUGAUGUGCACUUAGCUGCUCCAAAUGAACAUGCAAACAGUUAGGAUCUAUAGUUCCUAAAGCCCACUGAUGAAAUAAUUCAUCCAGUAUCCAAAAUCCUUUGGCAAUCUUUUGGGUAGAAUUCUGCUCUUACUAUUAUUAUACAAUAGGCAUCACCCUACAGUCAUUUCAUAUGUAAUUCCUAAUCUUCAUAAAAUCUCUUAAUAUUUUAUAAAUGAGGAAACAAAGGCUCAAAAGAGUUAAACAACUUCCUCAAGUUUCCUAGUACAUAAGUGGUAGAGCUGGGCUUUGAAUCCAGGUCUCUGUGAUACAAAAAAAAAAAACCCCAAAAACUACACUUUUCCUAUAUGUUAAGCUGCCUUUCAGAACCCUAUCUACUUCAGAUCAAGAGCUUCCAAUAUGCAAGGCAUAGGGCUAGAUGCAUUAUCUCAUUUAGUCACAGAGUAAUGCAUUUGAGUUCAUUAUCAUGGUCAUUUGAUAUUGACAUUGCUAGCAAGAUUUUAAAACCAGUAAUUAAAAAGGUUUUGAGCAAUGGGGAAAGGAUUCAAUCACUGGAAACUAGUAAGGCUUUGCUAUGAGUAAAUCAUGCCUGCCUAUCUUCACUUCCUUUUAAAUUUGGCCAACAGAUGACAGAGAAAUGGUAGAGUUAUUUAGACAGGCAUUUGAAAAAGUCUUUCUUAUGAUCCUCUUUUAUGAACAACCUGCAUUACAUAGAAUAGUAAUAUCAUGUAAUCCAGUGAGCUCUACCCAAAGAGCUUUGACUGAUAUACUGACUUCUCAGACCAGUCUUUUUUGAUUUAUUAAUUUGCUAGGAUGAGGACAUGGAUGAUAUCAACUCCUCUGAUCCUCUGAAGCUGAGAGGAAUAGCUGAUAUAUAUGAAUGAACCUAGUCCAAGACAUUGUCAACACACCGGGAUGAUGAGCAGAUCCUAAUGAGAUGAAGUUUAGCAGAACUGAAAGGGAGGUCCUCCACUAUGUCCCAGGAAGAAGUGCUCAAGGAAGACGAACAAAUCAUUUAUAUGUAAAGGCUGGCAAUGGCAGAAAGAAUGAACUACAGUGUAGUCAGUAGGAGGAGGCGGCUCAUGGCCCCACUUCUCUACUUGUUCACAGGAGAGCUCCUGCUGGGCUUUCAAGGGGACUCACGGGACACAUGCUAAAGGGAGUUUCUGUCCUGUGGCAUGUCUCCAUGUACUUGAUCAACUAUUAAAGGAACUGGGAAGGUCUAACCUACAGAAGACUUUUUGGGAGGUGGGAUAUCUGUAUUCAAACUUCUGAUGGGCUAUGUUGAUGAUGAGACAUAGAAAAAUAGUUGGUAUAAGUGGGCUCAGAGAGUAGAACUAAGAGUGGAAGUUAGAUGGGGUAGUGUCUGGCUUCAUAUAUGGAAGAACUUUCUAACAGCCAUAGAAAAACAAAAUGAACUAUUUCAAAGAAGUAAGUCCCUUACUGUGAAACUUUUGUUCCACCAGAGGCAGGAUGACUGACCAUUUGAGAGGGAUGUUGGAGGGGAAAUUCUGGCAUUCAGUGGAGGCUUGACUGUAUUACUGCUAAAACCCCUUCUAAGCCAGAGAUUCUACAAUAUUCUGCAAAUGAAACUGUGCAUCUUAAGAUGCAGGGACAUGCUAACAGAAGAGAAGAAGAAAGUGAUGAGUCCACUCAGAUGAAAAAGGUGUUGGGCUGGCUGAGCGAAGAUGACAUAACCCUCUGCGAGCUUGCUGGAUACAGUUACGGUGUCUUUGGACUCGGCCUGCGGACAGACAUGGUGGCCAUCAAACCCCCAUUGAUGGACGGUGCUGUAAAGUCACAUUGCUCACUACUUGGAAAACCCUUCAUGUUUUCCAAAAGAGACAAACUUCUCAAUCCCUUCAAUUAUAUUAUUAGGUGGGCUCUUAAUGGCAGCCAGCUUGGCGCUUGCAUAUUGCUGCACCCUUUUAUUCCAGACUUUAAGCCCUUCGUCACUGAAACUUGAGCCACUUAUGUUACAAUCAAGCCACACAGAGAACAGGGGAAAAUGGUAUGCCUUCUUUUACUUUGAAGAGAUGACUUUAUUACCAGUGGUUAUGUUUUUUUUAAGUCUCAGAAUACAUGAUAUAUUAAUUCUA
Non-coding RNA from Manis javanica (Malayan pangolin), 3441 nucleotides. The record is from RefSeq and is a predicted model, not a curated record. NCBI's taxonomy places the organism in Eukaryota, Metazoa, Chordata, Mammalia, Pholidota, Manidae.